GAUGAAGAACGCAGCGAAAUGCGAUAAGUAGUGUGAAUUGCAGAAUUCAGUGAAUCAUCGAAUCUUUGAACGCACAUUGCGCCCCUUGGUAUUCCAUGGGGCAUGCCUGUUCGAGCGUCAUUUGUAUCUUCAAGCUUUGCUUGGUGUUGGGUGUUUGUCCUUCUCUAUGCGUGGACUCGCCUUAAAUCAAUUGGCAGCCGGUAAUCUGGUGCUAAGAGUGCAGCACAUUGUGCGCUCCUCGCUGUGUAUUGCGGCGUCCAUUAAGCCUACAUUUUUUGCUCUUGACCUCGGAUCAGGUAGGGAUACCCGCUGAACUUAAGCAUAUCAAUAAGCGGAGGA
This 339-nucleotide unclassified non-coding RNA is filed under the name soil metagenome. RNAcentral describes it as "partial contains 5.8S ribosomal RNA, internal transcribed spacer 2, and large subunit ribosomal RNA". The stretch from base 1 to 120 matches the Rfam family "5.8S ribosomal RNA", at positions 35 to 154 of the family's 154-position model. The record is from RNAcentral.